UAGCCACCCCAGGGAGCACCAGGUGACCAGGCGAGGUGCCUGCCAGGCGCAUUGUGUUCAUUGCUUUUUUUUUUUUUUUUUUUUUUUGAGACAGAGUCUUGCUCUUUCGCCCAGGCCGGAGUGUAGUGGCGCUAUCUCGGCUCACUGCAAGCUCCGCCUCCCGGGUUCACGCCAUUCUCCUGCCUCCGGCUUCCAAGUAGCUGGGAAUACAGGCGCCCGCCACCACGCCCGGCUAAUAUUUUUGUAUUUUUAGUAUAGACAGGGUUUCACCGUGUUAGCCAGGAUGGUCUUGAUCUCCUGACCUCGUGAUCCGCCCGCCUCGGCCUCCGAAAGCGCUGGGAUUACAGGCGUGAGCCACCGCGCCCGGCCAUUGCUUUCUUGCAGCAACUGGGGAUUGUUGAUUCGGGACCCCUAGUCGGAGGGUGAUUUACACGUCAGUUGCAGCGCGUUGGUCAAUGUUCCAGGCUGUCAGCUCGGCACCGCCCUCAGGGCUCAAGCUACACAGGGCAUUGAAAGGAAUUCUGUCAUUACAGCCCCAGGAAAAUGGAAGAAGAGGAAAAUGAAAAAAGACAAAAGGGAUAUGAUGCUGGGCAAAAUCCCACCAAAAUCAGACGUAGGAAGGAAUCCAGCCCUUUUGCCCAGUAGAAUUAUGGGGGAAAAGGAGAAGCAAAUGGCGAGACACUUGAAUUCCAAGCUCUCCUCUUGAAGUGGAAGCCGUAGAGAAAGGAGGCAUGUUAGGUUGAAGAAAGAUGGUGAGGUUCCCAGAGACUAGCCACUUCAGGAAGCUCUUCUUACCCUUCGGGAUAAAGGGAGCAGAGAAGGAAAAAGCAGAGUCCAUGGAAUCAUGGGGACACACAGCAAUGCCAGAGACUUCUUGCCAAAGCAAGGAGCGAGCAGGGAAGAAAAGCUCCCACCUCUCACCUUCCAAACCUCAGGCUCCUGCUGGUGUCUCCCAUUAACCAAAACCACAGACACCAACCAGCAAGAAAGCCAGGGACCUAGAGUCAGUAGGGGUAAAUAGAGCCUUUCAGGACACGGAGAAGGGCAGGCAAAGGCACAGAUGGGUGUAGCCAGGGGCAGCAAGGGGAGAAUAACCAGGCACCUCCUUCCAUUCCAGCAUGAGGGCCUGGAAGCCCCUCUUUCUUGCACAUGCACAUGCCAUGCUGGGGAGCGGCAAUGGGAGUUCCGAAAUACUGAACAUUUAUCUAGAGACUGAGUCACUUAAAGCAACUGCUGAAAUUAUUGAAACAGACUGUUUUCUAAUCUAGACUAAAAUAUACUAUAUUUUUCUCUCUAUCCAUCAGUCCAUUGUAAUGAAAAUUUAAUCAAUUACUUAAAGCAAUAAAAGAAACUACAUUUUUAUUGUACAACUUACUGAAGUGUGAGGAAAUGGGUGGAUCCUUCCCACUUUGUAUCCUCUCUACCGUUCUCUACUUCCAAGGUAACUGAGGUGACUUAACAAUGAAACAAGUCAGAAAUGUCCUGAUAGAGACCAAAGGAAGACAAUAUUUCAGACUCCUCUGGAGAGGAAAGCAUCUUCUGGCUCAAUUAGCAUGCUAAAGAAUGGGUUUGGUUUCGUGCUCCAUUAAAGUCAACUAAAUAGAUGCGCUGCAUGUCUUUAUUUCAAAAAUAAAGCUGAACAAUUAAAUCCCGUGUCUCUUUGCUCAGUUUUUGAUCCCACACAAAGCUUUCCCACUUGCUGCCUUUGGAUGUAAUGUUAACAAAGUCAGUUAACAUCAAGCACUGCAGUAACAGGCAUGGCAGAAUUCCUUGUUUUUGCUCAAUCAGUCUGUGUUCAAACUAUCAGUUUGAUUUAUUUGUCCACAUUGACCCUUAUUCACCACUUAAUUAUCCUCGUAUAAUGUUUCAAGAGGCUCCUGACACAAGGAGAAAGACAAUCGCCGAUGUUCUGUAAAACAACGGUUGACCUGAUGGGCCCAGAUGAAGACCGUGGGUCGGAGUUUGUUUGCUUUUGGAAGAACCCACUUCUCCUGUCCGAGAGCUGCAUCCAGAGCCACUCGCUGUGGGUGCCACAGGCUGGCCGGUCAAGCUGUUCGUCAGGUUCUCAAACUGUGAGCUGACCAUCACCACGGGAUAGUCAUGGCGUUUUGCUCUAUUGGCCUCUCCAAAUCCCCCGGUAUGUUGGGUGUAUUAGAGUUCAGAAAAAAACAAAACCCAUGCACCCACUAACACACAAACACACACACACACACACACACACACACACUGAACCUCAAUUUCAGCAAUGUCUUUAUUAGUAUAUGGUUACUGCUGUGAUUAGAAAUACAUUUUCUCACUUUGUGUAUGAACAGGAAAGGUUUUCGAAUCACAGGUAUGAAAUGAGAAAUAAUAUUUAAACAUUGAACUGCUUCAUAUUGUAGUUGAUCUCUAAGCUCCUGCUCAUAAACCAGAUGAAUUAUAAUUUUAUUGGAAAAUAAACCAAUGUCUUUUAUACCUAGCCAGAAAUACUAUUUAUUGUAAUAGGUUUCAUGUGAAAUUAAGACAAUUAUUUUAGAACUGUUGAAAUCUGACAACUAUUCUAUAUUCAUAGCCCUUAACAUUCAAAUAUAAAUUACUGAUAGUUAAAAACAGAUAAUAAACAUCAACAUUUCUAGAAAAACAGCCCAUAUAAAUAUAAAAUCAUAAUUUUAUAUUUUGAAGUGAUUUUCUAUAAAAAUUUUAAAUCUUUUAUGGCAAGUUGAGCCCAUAUUUCAUUUGGCUACACCUUAGUAUGCAUAAAUGGUUUUUGCAACACCCUACUAACCUUGGUUUGUCAUUUUAAUUUUUUACACAUUUUCCUCUCCUGUUUAGUACAUUUUCCAUCUUAUUAAAUUUUACUCUGCACAGUUACCAAUGCAAAUGACAGCCUAAUUGUUUUUCAUACAUUAAAAAUGUUCAUCAAUGUCGUUUGAACCUAAAAUUAGAAAAUCAUACUCUAACAUAGCCUCCAUGUGUUGGUGACGUUUAUUCUUUUGUGUCUUAGCCUUUCUCUGUGAUGGACAUAUGAUCACAAAUGUUGCUGCACAGAAACAAUAACACAAGAAUUAGAUAAAUGACAGAUGACAAUUUCAAAAUGAAAAAUAUCAAAUAUUUCUAAAAGCUACUUGGUAGGAUUUUUUUUACUGCUGUAACUGUAACCAAAACUCUGAGAAGCAUUUUUGGAAGCCCCAGUUACCAGUAUGAAAGCCACCAGAAUAGAGUCUUGUACAUGCCACAACCCCGAACUCUCAUUCCGUCAUCCUGGGGAGGUCUGAGAUCCCAGCAGAGAUGGUCUGGUGGCCAGUGACCUUCUAUUUGAUUUGGUGCAGAGGGACUGAGCAUCUGGAGGCCAACCACGUGGCCUGGGCGUCCCACUCAAACUUGCUAGCUGCAAUUUCCUCAUCAUCGAGGACUUUCUAUCUUCUGAGGUUGGAUACAGAGUCCCCAGGAGUCCCGGUAGUGUUCAAGAUGACACAAGUCUGAGAGGACAUGAGCUGAGCCAGGCACACCAGUGACCUGCAGGCCUGCACACCCAGCUUUGACCAGGGUGGAUCCACUUUUUUCAGUUCUUUUCCAUAUCAGAUUUUUUUUUCCAGAAUGAAGUGUCCUGUGGCCUUUAAAGAGUUUUGUUUUGUUUUGUUUUGUUUUGUUUUAAGACCUGAAUAUAGAGGCCUUCCAGCUCUGGGAUUAUGUAACUCUAGGAAUAAAAUCAUAGUUCUUACAGCUGAAAGAAUACAAUAAGACAAAGUAGAAUAGGCAAAAAACCUGAGGUGGAAAAUCUGGCCUCCGUGUUGUCCCUUAAACAGGCUCACCGUCCUUCCAAUGGGUUCAAUUAUUUGCUACUGAAGAAAUCAUUCCGUAUGUUCCCCUGUCUGCAAACACACGGGCCUGAGAUCCCCUAAGUAAGAACACCAGUGGCAAGAUGAAGACACAAUCAGGGACUUGUUCCAACAUGGACUCCUGCUCUAAGAAAGCCCACAAAGCUGCUCUCUCUGUUCUGGCCUUGCUGUCUAAUACCAAGGAAUUUUCAUGACAUGUUCCAAUAGAAAUGACCAAAAUAAAAAUCUCUCUGAGAAAAAUGCCGCCCUCUUCUAAAAAUUAUUGUUGUUGUUGCUUUAUCUCAUUUUUCUGCUCAAUGUUUCUUUCUACCUGAAAACAAAUUUUUUAAUCUGAAAAAAUAAUUUGCUUUCAACUCUUUUUGCUACCUCCACCUGUUUCCUCCCAAAUCAGGUCUGUGUCAAAAG
This 4223-nucleotide long non-coding RNA is filed under the name Homo sapiens (human). Its description in RNAcentral is "HSALNT0113811". Lineage: Eukaryota; Metazoa; Chordata; Mammalia; Primates; Hominidae. The record is from RNAcentral.